AUAUAUAUCCCAGCGACUAGAUUCGGCUUGACGCGACACAUAUUUGACAAAUUGAAGGACACCUUCAUCUCUAUAAACCAAAGAAAAAACAUUCCAAGCGGCUGGCAAAGAAAGCAAAAUACUGUCAUCUUGCUGAUCACCCCUAUACACAGCAGCAUCUACAUCAGGAUCUUCAUCGCCAAUCAUAUAAAUAUCAUAUGCACCAUUGUCAGUAUUCGCAAUGCCUGUCCCCGGAGAUAAGCAAAGAGUAGCUUCUAGUAAAGCUGUGUCAUUCGUAGUAGCAAGCGUAAAAUCGGAACCAGGGCGGAAUCGUCGACCAACUUGAUGAAAGGAACGAAGGGGUAAGCCACUGACAAGUUGGAUCCAACGCUGAAACGCAGGAAGGCGCUGCAAAUCCAUGGGCAAAAUAAUAUCAGGGCCAAACUCUUCAUGAUCUAAAUAUAGGUACCUGUGCUUAUGAGGAGGAAUGGCAGUUUUCCAAGGGAAUGACACUUCGGAAGAAUGCAUAGGAGUGGG
This is a non-coding RNA of Schizosaccharomyces pombe (fission yeast), 516 nucleotides long. The record is from the annotation of a GenBank genome assembly. NCBI's taxonomy places the organism in Eukaryota, Fungi, Ascomycota, Schizosaccharomycetes, Schizosaccharomycetales, Schizosaccharomycetaceae.